UGGGGAAUAUUGCACAAUGGGCGAAAGCCUGACGCAGCAACGCCGCGUGAGGGAUGAAGGCUCUCGGGUUGUAAACCUCUUUCAGCAGGGACGAUUGUGACGGUACCUGCAGAAGAAGCCCGCCGCAACUACGUGCCAGCAGCCGCGGUAAUACGUAGGGGGCGGAGCGUUGUUCCGGCAGUUUAUUGGGCGUAAAGAGCUCGUAGGUGGUUCGAUAAGUCGGGUGUGAAAACUCUGGGCUUAACUCAGAGACGCCACCCGAUACUGUCGUGACUUGAGUCUGGUAGGGAGUGUGGAAUUCCCAGUGUAGCGGUGAAAUGCGCAGAUAUUGGGAGGAACACCAGUGGCGAAGGCGGCACUCUGGGCCAGUACUGACACUGAGGAGCGAAAGCGUGGGUAGCGAACA
This 406-nucleotide ribosomal RNA is filed under the name uncultured Actinomycetes bacterium. Its description in RNAcentral is "bacterial SSU rRNA". It matches the Rfam family "Bacterial small subunit ribosomal RNA", at positions 355 to 774 of the family's 1533-position model. The record is from RNAcentral. Lineage: Bacteria; Bacillati; Actinomycetota; Actinomycetes.